UACAGAGGUCUCAAGCGUUGUUCGGAUUCAUUGGGCGUAAAGGGUGCGUAGGCGGCGCGGUAAGUCGGAUGUGAAAUCUCGGAGCUUAACUUCGAAACUGCAUUCGAUACUGCCGUGCUUGAGGACUGGAGAGGAGACUGGAAUUUACGGUGUAGCGGUGAAAUGCGUAGAUAUCGUAAGGAAGACCAGUGGCGAAGGCGGGUCUCUGGACCACUACUGACGCUGAGAAGCGAAAGCAUGGGGAGCGAACAGG
RNAcentral lists this ribosomal RNA (253 nucleotides) under uncultured bacterium. RNAcentral's name for it is "partial 16S ribosomal RNA". It matches the Rfam family "Bacterial small subunit ribosomal RNA", at positions 524 to 776 of the family's 1533-position model. The record is from RNAcentral.